This 1365-nucleotide ribosomal RNA is filed under the name Nostoc commune UTEX 584. RNAcentral's name for it is "16S ribosomal RNA". It matches the Rfam family "Bacterial small subunit ribosomal RNA". The record is from RNAcentral. Lineage: Bacteria; Bacillati; Cyanobacteriota; Cyanophyceae; Nostocales; Nostocaceae.
AUGAACGCUGGCGGUAUGCUUAACACAUGCAAGUCGAACGGUGUCUUCGGACAUAGUGGCGGACGGUUGAUUAACGCGUGAGAAUCUAGCUUUAGGUCUGGGACAACCACUGGAAACGGUGGCUAAUACCGGAUGUGCCCUACGGGGUGAAAGGUUAACUGCCUGAAGAUGAGCUCGCGUCUGAUUAGCUAGUUGGAAGUGUAAUGGACUCCCAAGGCGACGAUCAGUAGCUGGUCUGAGAGGACGAUCAGCCACACCUGGACUGAGACACGGGCCCAGACUCUACGGGAGGCAGCAGUGGGGAAUUUUCCGCAAUGGGCGAAAGCCUGACGGAGCAAUACCGCGUGAGGGAGGAAAGGCUCUUGGGUCGUAAACCUCUUUUCUCAGGGAAGAACACAAUGACGGUACCUGAGGAAUAAGCAUCGGCUAACUCCGUGCCAGCAGCCGCGGUAAUACGGAGGAUGCAAGCGUUAUCCGGAAUGAUUGGGCGUAAAGCGUCCGCAGGUGGCAAUGUAAGUCUGCUGUUAAAGAGUCUAGCUCAACUAGAUAAGAGCAGUGGAAACUACAUAGCUAGAGUACGUUCGGGGCAGAGGGAAUUCCUGGUGUAGCGGUGAAAUGCGUAGAGAUCAGGAAGAACACCAGUGGCGAAGGCGCUCUGCUAGGCCGUAACUGACACUGAGGGACGAAAGCUAGGGGAGCGAAUGGGAUUAGAUACCCCAGUAGUCCUAGCCUAAACCAUGGAUACUAAGCGUGGCUUGUAUCGACCCGAUCCGUGCCGUAGCUAACGCGUUAAGUAUCCCGCCUGGGGAGUACGCCGGCAACGGUGAAACUCAAAGGAAUUGACGGGGGCCCGCACAAGCGGUGGAGUAUGUGGUUUAAUUCGAUGCAACGCGAAGAACCUUACCAAGGCUUGACAUGUCGCGAAUCUUCUUGAAAGGGAAGAGUGCCUUCGGAGCGCGAACACAGGUGGUGCAUGGCUGUCGUCAGCUCGUGUCGUGAGAUGUUGGUUAAGUCCCGCAACGAGCGCAACCCUCGUUUUUAGUUGCCAGCAUUAAGUUGGGCACUCUAAGAGACUGCCGGUGACAAACCGGAGGAAGGUGGGGAUGACGUCAAGUCAGCAUGCCCCUUACGCCUUGGGCUACACACGUACUACAAUGCUCCGGACAGAGGGCAGCAAGCCAGCGAUGGCAAGCAAAUCCCGUAAACCGGAGCUCAGUUCAGAUCGCAGGCUGCAACUCGCCUGCGUGAAGGAGGAAUCGCUAGUAAUUGCAGGUCAGCAUACUGCAGUGAAUUCGUUCCCGGGCCUUGUACACACCGCCCGUCACACCAUGGAAGCUGGUAGUGCCCGAAGUCAUUACUCCAACC